CAUCUCAUCCUGGGGCUGUAGCCGGUCCCAAGGGUAUGGCUGUUCGCCAUUUAAAGAGGUACGUGAGCUGGGUUUAAAACGUCGUGAGACAGUUUGGUCCCUAUCUGCCGUGGGCGUUGGAUAUUUGAAGGGGGCUGCUCCUAGUACGAGAGGACCGGAGUGGACGAACCUCUGGUGUACCGGUUGUCACGCCAGUGGCAUCGCCGGGUAGCUAUGUUCGGAAGAGAUAACCGCUGAAAGCAUCUAAGCGGGAAACUCGCCUUAAGAUGAGAUAUCCCUGGGGACUAGAUCCCCUUGAAGGGUCGUUCGAGACCAGGACGUUGAUAGGUCAGGUGUGUAAGCGCAGUAAUGCGUUCAGCUAACUGAUACUAAUUGCCCGUAAGGCUUGAUCCUAUAACA
RNAcentral lists this ribosomal RNA (399 nucleotides) under Burkholderia cenocepacia. RNAcentral describes it as "bacterial LSU rRNA". It matches the Rfam family "Bacterial large subunit ribosomal RNA", at positions 2538 to 2925 of the family's 2925-position model. The record is from RNAcentral. Lineage: Bacteria; Pseudomonadati; Pseudomonadota; Betaproteobacteria; Burkholderiales; Burkholderiaceae.